RNAcentral lists this long non-coding RNA (2466 nucleotides) under Canis lupus familiaris (dog). RNAcentral's name for it is "lncRNA (ENSCAFG00000049139.2)". The record is from RNAcentral. Lineage: Eukaryota; Metazoa; Chordata; Mammalia; Carnivora; Canidae.
GCAUAAUAUAAUAUUAAGGAAAUACAUAUUUUACUGUAAGAGAAAAAGAACACUAGUAAUAAGUAAAAGCAGUUAAAGAAAAACCCUACGAUGUUAAAUUUGAGGUGGAAAGAUCAGUUUGAACUCAUGAUUGUUUUAAAAAUGAGUUUCCAGUUUCUGUUCGCUGACAGAUCUAGAAGCAAAAACAUUCCUGUAGCAGUGAACACACAUCACACUGUGUGCUCUUCUUUUCUAGCCGUCGUUCCCCACUAAGGGAGCCAGGACUCCUUGAAGACAUGGUUAUUUCUGGGUCUGGGGCUAAAAACAUACAGCAUGAGUCCUCUGCAGAGUAUCCUGUGGUGCCAAGGGAUGCGGGAGCUUACCUGAAAGACCUCCAUGGCUCGCUGUGGGACCACAUGAACACCAAAAGGGAUAAUGAGAGUGUCCACUUCGAACACAUUUUUUUAAAGAUUUUAUUUAUUUAUUCAUGAGAAACACAGAAAGAGAGAGAGGCAGAGACACAGGCAAAGGGAGAAGCAGGCUCCAUGCAGGGAGCCCGAUGUGGGACUCGAUCCCCGGUCUCCAGGACCAGGCCCUGGGCUGAAGGUGGCGCUAAACCGCUGAGCCACCCAGGCUGCCUCACAUUUUUUUUAAAUCCAUGAAUCCACAGUGAUUUUUUUUUUUUUUUUUUUUAGGGGAAAAAGAUGGGGUAAAUUCCAGCUCGUAAAUGUGGAAGGAAUCAAAGAAUGAACCACCACCGCUUGCAAUCAGGGCCCAACUGCUCUGGUCCUCCCUUGGGUCCCAGGACUGCACCACUGGGCUUGCUCUCCUCUGCCCUUGCUGUGGGAACCAGUCUGAAUUCUGCAACACAGGGUCCUGAGCAGCGAGCUUCACCUACCUGGCCUCUCCCCAAACGACACAGCUCCCACACUUCUGGCUCAGGUAAUCCAACCAGUAGCUUGGUGAGCUCCUUCUGCAGCAGAAAAGGUUAAGUCUGUCCAGUGUCCGGGUGGGCUUCAGGUUAGACAGACCAGACUGGAAUCCUUGCUCUGUCCCUUUCUGGCUACGUGACCUCGUAGUAGUUUCUUAUUGCUGCAAAUGACCACACUCUUAGCAUCUUAACACAGCGCAAACUGGCUAACCUACAGUUCUACAGGUUGGAAGUCCAACACAGCUCUCACUGGAUGAAAACCCAGGUGUUGGCUGCGUUGAACUAUGUUCCUUUCUGAAAUCUCUGAAAAUCCAUUUCUGCUCUAGACCGAAUGCUUGUCUCAAAAAUUCACAUGUUGAAAUCCCAAACCCUAACGUGAUGGUAUUUAGAACUGGGGCCUUUGGAGGUGAUUAGGUCUUGAGGGUGGAUGGGAUUAGUGCCCUUCCAAAAGAGAUCCCAGGGAGCUUCCCGACCCUUUCUACCAUGCAAGGACACAGCAAGAAGAGGACUAUCUAUGAACCAGGAAAUGGGUUCUUGCCAGACACUAAAUCUGCUGGCACCUUAAUCUUAGACUUCCCAGCCUCCAGAACUAUGAGAAUUACAUUUCCGUUGCUUAUAAGCACCCUGGUGUGUGAUAUUUUGUCAUAGCAGCCCAAGACGACUAAGACAGUUCUCUCGCCUUUUCCAGCCUCCGCAUUCCUUGGCACCUGGCCUCUCUCCUCCAUCCUUAAAGCCAACACUCUUGGUGUUCCUCUAUAGCCACAUCUCCCUCUGACUCAUCCUUUCCGCCUCCCUUUUAGAACCAUUGGGCCUACCUAGAUAAUCCAAAAUAAUCUCCCUAUUUUAAAGUGAGGGACUAGCAACCACAAUUCCAUCUGGAACUUUAAUUCACCUUUGUCAGGUAACCUAACAAAAUCACAGGUUAUAGGAUUAGGACAUGGGACGCACCUUUGAGGGACAUUCUGCUGCCUACCAUGACCUAUAGUAAUUAUAUAACCUCCAAGACUCUGUUUCUUUUCCUUUUUUAAAACUUAAAUUCAGCUAAUUCACAUAUAGUAUAUUAUGAGUUUCAAGUUUCAGAGGUGGAGUACCUGGUGCUCAUUAAAUCUCGUGCCCUCCUUCAUGCCCAUCACCCAGUUACCCCAUCCUUGCAUCUCCCUCCCCUGCGACCUUCAGUUCAUUUCCUAUGGUUAAGAAUCUCUUAUGGUUUGUCUCCCCCUCUGAUUUCAUCUUGUUUUUUCUUUUCUUCUCUUCUCCUGUGCUCCUCUGUUUUGUUUCUUAAAUUCUGCCUAUGAGAUCAUAUGACAGUUGUCUUUCUCUGAGUGACUUAUUUCGCUUAGCAUAAUAUCCUCUAGUUCCACCCACAUCAUUACAAAUGGCAAGAUUUCUUUUUUGAUGGCUGAGUAAUAUUCCAUUGUAUAUAUAUCCCACAUUUUCUUUAUCCAUUCAUCUGUCAACAGACAUCUGGGCUCUUUCCAUAGUUUGGCUAUUGUAGACAUUGCUGCUAUAAACAUUGGGGUGCAGGUGCCCCUUCAGAUCACUACAGAUGUUUUUUU